GUUUCCACACGAGACUCACAAAAUCGUCCCCGUCCCCGGCUCCGGCUCCGGCUCCGCCGCACGCCUCCGUCUCCCGCCUCCGCCUACACCGCCCGCUGUGGCGUCCGCCGCCACACGAGACGGUAAAAACCGUAGCUAGGUACCAUGUUUCGUCUCAGCUUAAUUGAGCAUACCUUACCCGUGCCUCCCCACUUACUCAACCGUCCUCUCGCUGAUGCAGUCA
RNAcentral lists this unclassified non-coding RNA (223 nucleotides) under Hevea brasiliensis (rubber tree). Lineage: Eukaryota; Viridiplantae; Streptophyta; Magnoliopsida; Malpighiales; Euphorbiaceae. The record is from RNAcentral.